UGGAAACCAGAGCCUCUGUGAAUCUGUGGCCAGAAGCAGGACUUUGUGGACAUCUGUUAGUGGCUGUUUCCAGCACAGACAGGGCCUGGUACCAAGAGUAACUGCUGAAGUCUCCAGUGCUACAGCAACUGAAGAGCAAAAUUGGGUGCCUGGAGGAAAAGUAGUCUGGUUCAACUGAGCUCUGUCUGAAAAGCAGGUUACCGUGGCUUAAUGAAUUAUCCUGAGUUUGCAGAACAACGUGUUCCCUUACCUGAAAGGGCCCUGGUUUGCAUGCUGAUACAUUGCAUGACUGACGGACUGAUCAUCUUGUUGGUUUGACUUCCCAGAGCUGGAGGAAUCAAGACCAUCCGUGGCUGAUAAGCCAGGAACCGCCGACUUGGCUAAGCCACAGAAUCCCAAUGGAUUCCAAUGGAGUCAACAAAUGGAGCUGUCGCUGUAACCUGACACGUAAAGGGGGCGAGAUGCACGACAUGGAGCAGCACCCAGAUCGAUCUAUCUCAUCAUUCACAUGCAGGAAAUCAAUCAGAGAGUGGUGCAAUUCACAUGAAAAUAAGACAUAAUGCAGCAGAGGCCCUGGGUCCCAGGGUGAGACAUGAUACUAAGAUGCAAG
This 610-nucleotide long non-coding RNA is filed under the name Gallus gallus (chicken). RNAcentral describes it as "long non-coding RNA NONGGAT008362". Lineage: Eukaryota; Metazoa; Chordata; Aves; Galliformes; Phasianidae. The record is from RNAcentral.